GACCCUGGCUCAGGAUGAACGCUAGCGGCAGGCUUAACACAUGCAAGUCGAGGGGCAGCGGGGUGUAGCAAUACACUGCCGGCGACCGGCGCACGGGUGCGUAACGCGUAUGCAACCUACCCAUAACAGGGGCAUAACACUGAGAAAUUGGUACUAAUUCCCCAUAACAUUCGAAGAGGCAUCUCUUUGGGUUGAAAACUCCGGUGGUUAUGGAUGGGCAUGCGUUGUAUUAGCUAGUUGGUAGG
RNAcentral lists this ribosomal RNA (245 nucleotides) under uncultured bacterium. Its description in RNAcentral is "partial 16S ribosomal RNA". It matches the Rfam family "Bacterial small subunit ribosomal RNA", at positions 15 to 256 of the family's 1533-position model. The record is from RNAcentral.